Long non-coding RNA from Aquila chrysaetos chrysaetos, 7883 nucleotides. RefSeq lists it as uncharacterized. The transcript has 2 exons. The record is from RefSeq and is a predicted model, not a curated record. NCBI's taxonomy places the organism in Eukaryota, Metazoa, Chordata, Aves, Accipitriformes, Accipitridae.
UUCCCCGGCCAGCCGGUCUUCCGCCGAGCCGCGGGGGAGGAGGAGGAGAAGGAGGGGGCUCCCUUCCCCACCUCUAACCGUGUGCGCCUUCCCUUCCCAGGUAGGGAAACUUGGGCUGGCAGGCGGCCCCGGUGCCGGUACCGGAGGAGGAUUGGAGCCUCCGGAAGCAAAGUUCUGUGACACUCCGACUCUGGGUACGAUAGCAGUCAGUGCACUACAGAACUUUGUCUCCGGCGGCGGCGGCGGCCCCGGGAGCCUCAGGUGGACACGUCACUGCGGGCUGCCCCGCCGGGACGGCGAGCCCGGGCCCCGCCGGGCACCGAAACCUGCGCUGCAGCCUCGGAAUAAAGUCUUUGCUGUCGUGGCCUCCCGCUUUGAAGUUUCGUUGGGUUGUUGGUUUUUUGGGUUUUGGUUUUGGUUUGGUUUUUUUUUUUUUCUUUCUUCUUUUCCAGGGUAAAAAUAGCGCGACAUCUGGGUACCCGAGGGUUAUUUCGGUGCAGUCAGGCCAGCCUGGCUGUCGGCAUAAAUGUGAAACUAACCGGUGCUCAGUGCAACUGAAUCGGUGGUGGGAACCCCAAACCCCCAACUUCUGUUGAGUGGUAGCUGUGGCUUAGAUUCAAGCCUCUGCAUCUUCAAAAAUGACAAGGUAUGUUGUAAGCCAGUACUGCAAGGCUUCAUCCUCACUGGUGCGGGAGGGAGGCUCUGGAAGGAUACGUGACACCUGUAUUUAUUAGUGCAGUUGCAAGGUUUUAUAAUGUAACCUUAUUUGACGCAUGCACCAUACUCAACAUGGACAAUGGCUUUGAGGGCUGAGAAGGGAAGGGCCGAACUCAACUUCUUGUUUCAGUUUAAGUUGGAGUCUGGCAACAGUACAAUAGCCGGCCCGGCUCUCUUCAGAAAUUUUGCAGAGUUUCAUGAUGUGUAAACUAAUCUGUCAGGUUCUUGUGAGGUGGACAUAAUCAGCUGAUCGGCUUUCAUCAUAAUGAGAGUAACAUGAAAACCAGGAACUGUUAAAGGUCAGGUGGAGUAAGGUAUGGCGAUUUAUUUAAAAUUUAAAAUUGGUAUGCGCUGUAGAGUUUGUUAGCAAGUAAGUCUUUCACAGCAGCUGCGUUGUAUGGCAGAUACACUGCUUUUAUGUGUAUACACAUAAAUAUGUGUGUGUGUGUAUACAUGUAUGUGUUAGAGGUCUCCUAUUCUGUUAGCUUUUUGUAGUUAAUGAUCCCCUUUGGACUCACUAGAAACCUAAAUCAACUUUUCCUUUCUGCCAAUCUGAAAGUGGAAGGUACAGCAAGAUUAUACAGUUCAUGGAAUUGGGCUGGAAACUGAAAUGCUAUUCUAAGUACAUGCUUUUUAGCUCAAACGGUUUAAUCAAAGGGUAGGUAAAGUGAGGAGCACUUACUGUAUGGCAGCCCAUGUGACCAGCUAGGGCUAUAUUUGGAUGCUGGAGGUUUAAGGAAUCCUUUUUGCUAACCAUUUUUGGCCAAUUGCCUGCUGCUUUAUGUUGUGCAGUGUGAUGUCUGCUAAAAAGGACUUGGAAGUCUGGUGUCUGCAACUGUUUAAUCAGUGGAGUUACAGGGAAACACCUUGUACUGUCAGGGCUAAAGUCCCACUGUAUUUAAUUUAGGGGUGGUUCCUGCCUAGCAGGAUAUGUAGUGCAAAUUGCAGUUUCCAAUUUUUGUACUAAAUAGCCUUUUGUGGAGUGGGAGGGGGUGGGGGGGGGGCAGUAGAUCUUAUAAAGGCUUCUUAGAUACUCAUAUUUGGUGGUUAAAACUCCAUAUAGAUUAUUACAGUUCUGGAAACCCACAGACUGGAGCAUAUGCUUACUCUUUCGGGGUGAGCAUAACAUGUUUAGAUCAUAGCUUAUGUCAGUAUAAAUUCAGCCCAGAAUAGGGGGGUGGGAUCCUGAAGUCUCUUGUGCUGGCCUGGAUGUGAUGGCAGAUAGCAAACCUGAGUCCAGCUGUGUUGGGAAUGAAGAGUUCCUCCACUUUCUCUCAAUGUGUUUCAGCUGGAGCCAAUUUUCAGCCUCCUUUAGUUCCCCGGUGGUCAAGCUGGCCAGCUGUGAAGGCAAGGUGAGUAACGCUUGGCAUCCUGGUAGCCCUCACUUUUCAUUGCCACAUGUCUGCAGCAUGUUGUACCUCCUGUCCUACAAGUAAUACUUGAAUAGUGACCUUUUGGUGACACGUCUGCUUUGAUACAGGAAAUCAUGUGGCCUUCAGGUGGGCCUAGAAAAGAGCUCAGUGCUUUCGAUUUUGUUCUUUAUUCGUGCACUGAUAUGUAUGUGAUCUGAUAGUUCCCUGGCAUUUGAACUUUCUCACUUUGUUGCAGUGUAAGUCUUCUGAAAGCAAGCUUGAGGUGUGUAGCGGUGCUUGGCGCCUUGAAUGGGAGUUGAAGAGUUUUGACUAACCUUUUAAGAGUAGUGCUUGAUUAAGAUGAUGCAGGAAUUGAAAACAGAAAAAGAACUGGUGAUGCUGUUUAAAAUAAAGUCCGAAUGCCAAGCUGUAUAACUGCAUUGAUACAGCUUAUUUUCCAGUGACUUCCUGGCAUCUUCUGCUUCUCUGUUAGGCAUUACAUCACUGGAGAUGUACUCUAAACUGCUUUAUUUUAUUGGUGCUUUUUGACACUUCAGAGUGUCUAUUCCAAUUACGGUCCUUUCCUCAUUGAAAGAGUGGCAAAUGAGCGUGCUGAGUAAAUUACAUGAAUUUCCAAAAUGGUACUGGUCUGUUAUUUGAAGGGGCAGAGGCAAAGGAAAUGAUACCCACCUAUUUAUUGUUCUGCAAGCUGGAGAACAGGAAAGGAGUUUGCUGUCAAGUACUUGAAGGUUGAGGCUGAAUGCAUCUGACUGUGGCCCAGACUCCCUGUGUGUAUUGAUCCAGCUGUACGUACAUGCCUGAACUCUGUACAUAGGUGCUGAAGUUUGACUUCAGAAUUUGAAAAGAGGCAUUUUAGAAGCAUAAAAGCUGUUACUGCAUGCGUGUUUGUCUUUUCCAGGUCAGGAUCUCCAUACACUCCUAAGAUUAAGUUAUGCCUUGCACUGCUGGGAGUGACAAUGAGGCAGUGUGCAUGUUAAAUGGCAGCCACUUCAGUUUGCUUUGUGAUGGGAGAAUAAUGAAGAGCACAGGGAAUAGAGAGUAAAGGCAAGCUGCACAGCCUGUAGCUGGUUAGUCUCAGGAUGCCACUGGACCUGAUAGAGUUGAGGAAUGUGCUUACUUUAGCUUCCAGAGAUGUGAUUUUGAGCUGGUGAAGUUUUAAGCAAAAAUCUAAUUCUUGUACCUGUAAUCUAAAAAUGCUGUCCAAAGACGAAAACGAGUUUUUCCUGUGUGUUUUCAUAGAACUAGCUUGUACUGUUUUACUAGAAACAGAAGGAGACUUGCUGACUUCUAGCAACUGUAUGAUAAACAAUUUAUAAAUAGACCAUAGAGUCCAAUGAAAUACAAAUAAAGUAUUGGAAGUCAUGAGCUGACUCCAAAAAACACUGGGAUAUUUAUAUUUAUCUGCUGCCUGGGCAGCUAUGUUCAAGAAACUUCUCAGAAUCCAUGUAGUCUGAAGUGCCCUGAAAGCCCAUCCAGAGCAGUGGGUUUUGGAGUCUGUUUUGUUGGGCUUUUGGUGGUAGCAAUGGUCUUCCCUGCUGUGCCAAGAUUUAGAGGAUAGAAAUAUUUUGCAGGAUACUGAAGUUACCAACACAAGGCCGUGUCUGCCUGUCAGCUGCAGAAUGGGAAGUAGAAUUGCAGCAGUUGAGGUAGGUCAAUGGCACAGCGUGGUGAAGGAUUUGCCUUGUAGUUGGAGCUGGAGGAAGUGAACCUCAUCCUGGUAGAAACAGGGCAUUGAGCUAAGUGAGUGGAAACUGGAACUGCUAAGCAAUCCCAAGUUUAUUUUCUAUUUUAUUCUGGGAGGGAAGAGGAAGUUACAAAAGCUUGGCAAAUGCCAUUGAAAUAAGGCUAGUUUCUUGCUUUGUGUAACAGACGGGCUAGGAACUCAGCCAUGUGUCAGUUGUGCUUACUGUGUUCUAGCAAUAAGCUUUGCUAUGACCAGGUUUUGGUUUUUAGAAUACUGGUGCUAAUGCUAUUGGAAAUAGCUCGGCGCAGUUGAACCUAUAUUUAAGAUAUUAGAGGUGUUACACUGAAACCUCAUCCUAAUUAACUGCAGAACAAGGGAACUGAAACUUGGCUUCGUACAGCCAACACAACAGCAAUUACUUGCUGAAUUAUAAGCUUUCUGAAAUGAGCGUACAAAGUCCUGAGCUCUAUGAAAAAAACAGCAUUAGACUAUUGAUGAAUGAUUGCCUCUUUGUUUUGAGUUCAGUUAGGCUGUGAGGCAAUACUGCCUUUUUGUGUAAUGGCAGUUUUUACCCUGUCUGAUGGUUCUCACUGCUUGAGUUUUGGAAACUACAUUCUUGCACCAACACUUGGUCUCUUGCAGAGCUCCUGUGAAUGUUUUUCAGCUGUAGUAAGAGGAUGCAUUGCUGCUUUUAAUACAAGUAAGUCUCAAUACUGAAUGUUGAUCUCCUUGUGCAGUAAAAUCCUUAAAUGUGUUUUGUAGUAACUUGCGGGAGCACUAGUUGUGGGAACAUCAUUAACGGUACAAGAGACUCAAAACUAUGAGCAACAGCGUAUUUAAGUUGCGUGAGUAGUCCUAUUUAGGCAAGCCAAAGGUGUUUAAUACUCUGCAUUUUUGGCAGCUGAGUGACUUCAGAGGUGUCUAAAUUCAUACAUAGGCAGUAAGCUCAGUCUCAGCGAGGGCUAUCGCUUUUGCCGUACUGAGCCCCAGCUCACAUUAGUAUGUCCCAAAAUUGUCACUGCCUAUAACAGUUCCCUCAGGUGCUGCUUCCUCGGAAGAGGCAGGGAAAGGAUGGUCUUAGUUUAGGGAAAUGUAUGUAGAGGCAGCAGUCAGCUCUCCUUCAGUUUCUUCGUUCAUGAACUGAAACAUAGGAGGCUCUGUCUGAACAUCAGGAAACACGUACUCCGAGAGUGACCCAAGUACUGGUUCAGGUUACCCAGGGAGGUUGUGGACUCUCCAUCCUUGGAGAUAUUAAAAAAAGCAUCUGGAUGGGCAACUGGCUCUAGGUGGCCCUGCUUGAGCAGGGGGGUUGGACCAGAUGACCUCUGGAGAUCCCUUCCAACCUCAAUGAUUCUGUGUGAUUCUUUUCCUAACUUUAUACCCAGAAAACGAUUUUACCUUUCCUGCUGUCUUCUCCCCAUCCCAGGUUCUUCCAUUGAUGCUUAUUGUUACAUGAAUAAUCCUUUCAUUUAUAAAGCAGAGGGGGAGAAGGGUUACAGAAGAUCAAUAUUACUCUGAAUAAAUGUAAUGUAAAGCACAGUGAUCAGCUUUGACUCGUGUUAAUUAGCUUGAGCUGAGGCUUGAGUGUAUAAAACAAAAGUUGAAUCCCAUUGGAAGAGGUAUGUUCUUGCUUUGACCUUCAUAAGUAGUAAAGUACAGGGUUAAAUCUGUGUUUAAUGCAGAGGAAUUCUCACUUUCCUGGGUGACUGGCAAUCUCUUACAAGUAGUGGGUUUUGCUCUUCAGUCAUGGCUGGGCCUGAAAGAGGAAGCAACUGAAGCUCAUAGAUUUCUUUUGCCUAAGACUUAACCAGUGCAUAGACUGUCAAAAUAUUCCUAGUGUGAUUGCAGUUCUUAGCCAAACCACACCAGUGCAGGUGAGACUUGCUCCUUGCCCUCUUGCCCCUUCUCCAGGGGAAAUCAGCUGUGCUGAGGUGGGGAGUCGUGGCAGGGCAUGGCAAAUCACACUUCCCUAUAGGAGGGAAGGACCUUACCAGGGCAGAAGUGUUGAUGAGGUGAGGAUUUGCCGUAGUUGAAGGUGAAAUGAGCUGUCGGUGUUUUCUUCUUGCCAAGUAGCAUCCGGCAGGCAUGAAGACUCCAAAUAAUGGUAAGGAAUAUCUGCUUGGCUGCGCUGACUCCUUUCCAAGGUCAGUCAUGUUUAGUCUUCCGGGAGGUGAGUUGCUAUAUUCCCCACGUAGCCAUUAAGGCAAGAAACUGAUAGUGUAGAGCAAGCCUUGGAGAAAAGGUGCAUUUCAUGCUAGUUGUUAAAGUUAAACUCUUACAGUCCUUGCCUUGAAGAGCAAACAUGCUGGAGAGUGUUUGCUUUGCUGCUGUGUAACAUACUGCACUCUUCUGCAGGUGUGGCUUGAGGGACCAGGAGGAAGAAGGAGACAUAGAUAGAGCUGGGGAGAGAAGCAGAAAGGGGGAGCAGAAAAGGCAGAGGGUGGUGGGUGGAAGAGGUCAUGCAAGUUGCCAGAAGAGCAAAAUUUAGGUUCUGCUGUGAACUUUGAUGUCCAUGUGAUCGCGAUUUGGUAAGCACUUUCUGAGAUGUUAAACUUAAACUGCCAGACUGUACAUUGACCAAACCAAUUCCAGAGCCUUAUGUAUAAUUACACUGUGUGAAAGGAGCCUGUGCCUCUUGAGACACUUUCAUAAGCACCUGAAACAUAAUGUUCAUAAAAUACUAUAGCUAUGCAAUGUGGCCUUUUAAUUUAUGCCGUGCAUUAAUUUGAAAAUAAAAGUGGACUUCAAGUUCUGGAUUAUUUGGGCUUUUAUCAUACCAUAUAAAUCCAUUAUUUCAAAUAUGGCUAACUAAGCUAAACCAAUGAGGACACACAGUACUCAAAUAGUUGUUGGCAAACAAACUAUAAUUAACUAUAUACUUCAGAGAUAGAGAGGAGAUGCUGCAGAGCACUGCCAAGAAAGGGGAGCUGUGCUUAACCCUUGCACAGUAAACAGUCAAUACCAAUAAAGUCCUAAAGAAGGAGGGAAGGCUCACAAGUCCUCCAAGGUGAAAAUUUCAGACAGCAGCAUCUUAAGUGACUCUUUGAGGAAAUAUAUGGAUGAUGGCAACUUUGAUUUCCAACCUGAUGUGUUCUCAGCCAGCCAAAUCUGAGCAGAACUGGAAAGCAGGGAAUAGCACAUGGAGACAAAGCUCGGUGGUCAAGGAGAGCUGCCCUCACCAUGGAUCACUCCUGAAAGAGAAGAGAAAGCUGGCUCAAGCCUGCAGGAGGCUACUUCUUUCAUAAAAGGCUUUUUCAAAAAUAUUUUAAAAUAACCUGUUCAACUUGGGCUCAGUUGUGGCUUUAUGUAUAGGCUGGUCUGUUGAAAUACUAAUUUUGUAGUUUCAUUAAGCACAAUGUUUUCGAUGUGGGUUUGAUUAAGCAUCAAGAAUAAAAAUACAAUGAAAAUUUAAUCCUGUCUUUAAAAGAUUUCAUUAUUCAAAUUGUGUGUUCUUGGCUUAAGGUUAAGCAUCCAGUUCUGGAUUACAUUGUUGUUCAAUAUGGUUCACUUGUCUGAACCAUAUUGUUUAAAUUUUGGUGUGAAAUUUAGUUGUAAUUGGGAUCAAGCAAACAAAUGGGAAGACAUAAAGGCAAACCUUACUGGGUGCAUGUAAAUGAAGCAAGGGCAUGGGCAAUGUAGCUCAGAGCCUAGGCUUGUAGCAUUUGUUGCUGAGAUACUCUUCAGCAUUAUAUGGACCACUUGCUGUGUACAGUCAGCUGCAGCAUGAAGGCUAGUGAAAGCAUGGAAAGCUUGUAUUGCAGACCCAUAUUGAUCUUGGUAUCGAUGCUUUGACAUGUUUUGCUUAAAUGUUAAAUCAGCAGCUUAUUUUUAGGGUAAUGUUAAAAUGCUAAGCUUUAUAUAACCACAUUAAGUUCACUUCUGAUGUGUGAAGGCAAACAUGCUGGUGUCAGUCACUGUUCUAGUGUGUAGGACAAUAAGCAGUAGGGGUAUUGCAAGCUAUGUAAAGCUUUCAACAAAAUGUCACUUAGUCACAUUCAAAGUUAUCAAAUGUGAAAAGAAACCUAAUCAAAUACUUUGGACUUCAGAUGGAUUUUGUAGUCUCCAGACUGAAAUUAUUUCCCUGCACUAAGAAUAAAAAGCAUUUGUGA